AGCCAAGACCGCGCCACUGCCCUCUGGCGUGAGGAACAGCGGGAGACUCGGUCUCAAAAAGAAAAGAGCUGUAACACUCACCACGAAGGCCCGGCUUCGUUCUUGAAGGCAGCGAGACCACGAACACCCUGGCCGGCAGCAACUGCAGACACAUAAUCACAAGAGGACUUUCCCCAGCUGAUGGGAGAAGAGGCAGGUAGAAGAGAAGGCAGAAGGAGAAAGAGCCCAACCACAAGAAGGAACUGAAGUGCCAUCACUGGUUUGAAGACACAGAGGGCCUCACGUAGAGAAGGACAGUGGCUCUUCACCCCUAGCUGACAACCAGAAAGGAAACAAGCUCCCCAGUCCUACAACUGUAUGGAACGGAACUGUGCCGGCAUCCCGAGUAAGCACGAAAUGGGUUAUUCCUCGAGCCUUCAGAUAAAAACCCAGCCUGGCCCACACCUCAAUAUCAGCUUUGUGAGACCUUGAGCAGAGAAGCCAGUCAAGCCACCUGGACUUCUGACCUCCAGAAUGGUGAGGUGAUCAACGGGUGCUGUUUUAAGCUGCUAAUUUUGAGGUAAUUUGUUAGGCAUCAAUAGAAAGCUAACACAAUCAAUGAUUUCUUUUCUUCUGAAUCAGAGAACAGAAGACAUAGCCAAGCACUCUUAUGGCCUUUGGAAUUAUGCCAGCAAGAGCUCUGUUGACUACAACUGGCCUUUUACUUUCAAGACAAGACCAAAAACAUAAAUCUGACAUUUGCCCUGCUUCCAGUGUGACCUGCCACAGUCAGGAAAAACCUCACAUAUUUCACUCUGAAAUAAAUCAUGUCUUAUUCUAGUACCCAGAAUCAAUAAAAUACUGAGCAUUUCCCACAAAAGUAUUAUGUCUUUCAGAAAUAUGGUAAUC
This 888-nucleotide long non-coding RNA is filed under the name Homo sapiens (human). RNAcentral describes it as "HSALNT0217920". The record is from RNAcentral. Lineage: Eukaryota; Metazoa; Chordata; Mammalia; Primates; Hominidae.